Molecule: ribosomal RNA, 420 nt
Filed under: uncultured Sphingobacteriales bacterium
Lineage: Bacteria; Pseudomonadati; Bacteroidota; Sphingobacteriia; Sphingobacteriales
Description: bacterial SSU rRNA
Rfam family: Bacterial small subunit ribosomal RNA
Source: RNAcentral
UUACUGGGUUUAAAGGGUGCGCAGGCGGGGCCUUAAGUCAGUGGUGAAAUCUCUUCGCUUAACGAAGAAACUGCCAUUGAUACUGAGGUUCUUGAAUCUAGUUGACGUUAGUGGAAUGUGUCAUGUAGCGGUGAAAUGCUUAGAUAUGACACAGAACACCGAUCGCGAAGGCAGCUAACGAAGCUAGUAUUGACGCUCAGGCACGACAGCAUGGGGAGCAAACAGGAUUAGAUACCCUGGUAGUCCAUGCCGUAAACGUUGAUCACUCGACAUUGGCGAUAUACUGUCAGUGUCCAAGCGAAAGUGUUUAGUGAUCCACCUGGGGAGUACGCUCGCAAGGGUGAAACUCAAAGGAAUUGACGGGGGCCCGCACAAGCGGUGGAGCAUGUGGUUUAAUUCGAUGCUCCGCGAGGAACCUUA